UAGAGGUCAAGGUCCAGUGAGAAGACAAAGAACAUCAGCUGGGUGUCUGACUCAAUGGCAGAGUGUCUGCCUUACGUACAUGAGGUCUGGGUUUGAUCUCCAGUGCCACAGAACAACAACAACAAAAAUAACAUAAGGCUGCUGAGCUCCUCAAAUAAAAAGGCUGAACAAGUCUAAUUCCACACAAAGACCAGCACCAGAGACCUAACGAACUAUGACGUAGAACAAGGAUUCAUUCACUGAUGCCAAAGGGAUUGGAGGAGCAUGAUGAUGAUGAUGAUGAUUGAUGAUGAUCAUGGUGAUGGUGUUGCCAUAGGACUACAGGUGCUAUGCCUGCAGAAAAGGUGCAAUUAAUCUGCGACACUGGGAAAAAUUCUAUACUCUAUGAAAAGGAGAAAACCAACCACUAAAGGGGUAACAAUUACGAGGCAUUUUUUGAAGCCAAAACUCUAGUCUGAUCAAAUAUAUAUAUAUAUCUGUUUGCCUACCAAUCAUCAUCUUGCAGUAAGAGCCUAAGCACUGAGUUAAAUUGGUCCUUUUUAUAUUUUUUAAAUUUUAAGAUAGGGUCUUAUUAAUUGUUCAGGCUAAGCUCAAGCUUGCAAUCCCCCUGUGUGAGCCUCCCAGAGUGCUAAGAUUACUGGUGUGUGUUAUGAUGCCCAGCCUAGGUAGCAUCCUGAUUUUUUUUUUAAAGGCUAUAUAUGCAAUCACUUUAAAUGCUUAUCAGUAAAAUAAAAUAUAGAAAAUCAUUCUAAAGCUUUAUGUUAAAGAUUUUGAUCCCUAUCUUAUGGGUAUUAUUAGUUUUGAUAAAAGCAAAGAGGACAUAAAUAUCCUUAAUCAUGUAAAAUAAAGAAAAAU
This 855-nucleotide long non-coding RNA is filed under the name Fukomys damarensis (Damara mole-rat). RNAcentral describes it as "lncRNA (ENSFDAG00000030497.1)". Lineage: Eukaryota; Metazoa; Chordata; Mammalia; Rodentia; Bathyergidae. The record is from RNAcentral.